UGGGGAAUAUUGCACAAUGGGCGCAAGCCUGAUGCAGCCAUGCCGCGUGUGUGAAGAAGGCCUUCGGGUUGUAAAGCACUUUCAGCGAGGAGGAAGGCGGUGAACUUAAUACGUUCAUCAAUUGACGUUACUCGCAGAAGAAGCACCGGCUAACUCCGUGCCAGCAGCCGCGGUAAUACGGAGGGUGCAAGCGUUAAUCGGAAUUACUGGGCGUAAAGCGCACGCAGGCGGUUUGUUAAGUCAGAUGUGAAAUCCCCGGGCUCAACCUGGGAACUGCAUUUGAAACUGGCAAGCUAGAGUCUCGUAGAGGGGGGUAGAAUUCCAGGUGUAGCGGUGAAAUGCGUAGAGAUCUGGAGAAAUACCGGUGGCGAAGGCGGCCCCCCUGGACGAAGACUGACGCUCAGGCUGCGAAAGCGUGGGGCAGCAAACAGGAUUAGAUACCCUGGUAGUCCAGCGCUGUAAACGAUGUCGAUUUGGAGGUUGUGCCCUUGAGGCGUGGCUUCCGGAGCUAACGCGUUAAAUCGACCGCCU
This 531-nucleotide ribosomal RNA is filed under the name uncultured bacterium. RNAcentral's name for it is "partial 16S ribosomal RNA". It matches the Rfam family "Bacterial small subunit ribosomal RNA", at positions 355 to 874 of the family's 1533-position model. The record is from RNAcentral.